Camelus ferus (Wild Bactrian camel) is the source of this 72-nucleotide transfer RNA. It matches the Rfam family "tRNA". From Rfam's summary of the family: Transfer RNA (tRNA) molecules are approximately 80 nucleotides in length. Their secondary structure includes four short double-helical elements and three loops (D, anti-codon, and T loops). Further hydrogen bonds mediate the characteristic L-shaped molecular structure. tRNAs have two regions of fundamental functional importance: the anti-codon, which is responsible for specific mRNA codon recognition, and the 3' end, to which the tRNAs corresponding amino acid is attached (by aminoacyl-tRNA synthetases). tRNAs cope with the degeneracy of the genetic code in two manners: having more than one tRNA (with a specific anti-codon) for a particular amino acid; and 'wobble' base-pairing, i.e. permitting non-standard base-pairing at the 3rd anti-codon position. NCBI's taxonomy places the organism in Eukaryota, Metazoa, Chordata, Mammalia, Artiodactyla, Camelidae. The record is from Rfam.
GAAGGGAGAGCUCAGUGGUAGAGUGUGUGCUUAGCAUGCGUGAGGUCCUGGGUUCAAUCCCCAGUACCGCCA